UACAAGCUGCGUUGUACGUAAUCAUAAUAAAGUUUUAACCUUUAAGCUGUAAUAGGGAGUUUAACCAUUGAAGCUGGAAUGACAAGCCUUUGUCUAUAAGACAUGGAGGACACGCAGAAAAGCUUCUGAAAACACCCACUUUGAGGAGUGGUGGUUUAAAACUUUCUUAUAUUUCUUACGGCAAUGGCGGCUACAUA
This 197-nucleotide non-coding RNA is filed under the name Neobacillus sp. PS2-9. Its description in RNAcentral is "6S RNA". It matches the Rfam family "6S / SsrS RNA". Rfam says of the family: E. coli 6S RNA was the first non coding RNA to be sequenced, but its function was unknown until recently. It consists of 184 nucleotides that fold into an extended hairpin structure with a large single-stranded internal bulge. The 6S RNA specifically associates with RNA polymerase holoenzyme containing the sigma70 specificity factor. Lineage: Bacteria; Bacillati; Bacillota; Bacilli; Caryophanales; Bacillaceae. The record is from RNAcentral.